Molecule: ribosomal RNA, 440 nt
Filed under: uncultured bacterium
Lineage: Bacteria
Description: bacterial SSU rRNA
Rfam family: Bacterial small subunit ribosomal RNA
Source: RNAcentral
CCUACGGGUGGCUGCAGUGAGGAAUCUUCCACAAUGGACGAAAGUCUGAUGGAGCGACACCGCGUGAAGGAUGACGGCCUAACGGUUGUAAACUUCUUUUCUGAAGGAGCAUAAUGAGAGUACUUCAGGAAUAAGGGACGGCUAAUUACGUGCCAGCAGCCGCGGUAAUACGUAAGUCUCGAGCGUUACCCGGAAUCAUUGGGUGUAAAGGGUUCGUAGGCGGAUUAACAAGUUGAAUAUUAAAGACUGAGGCUCAACCUCAUGUAUGUGUUCAAAACUGUUAACCUAGAAUUAGGGAGAGGUAAGCGGAAUUCUGUGUGUAGGGGUGCAAUCCGUAGAUACACAGAGGAACACCAAAAGCGAAGGCAGCUUACUGGAACUAUAUUGACGCUGAGGAACGAAAGCGUGGGUAGCGAAAAGGAUUAGAUACCCGGGUAGUC